CGCUAGCGGCAGGCGUUAACACAUGCAAGUCGAACGAAGUUCUUCGGAACUUAGUGGCGAACGGGUGAGUAACACGUAGGUAAUGUACCCUUUGGUGGAGGAUAACUCAGGGAAACCUGAGCUAAUACUGCAUAUGUCCUUCGGGAUAAAAGUCUUCGGACGCCUUAGGAGCAGCCUGCGGCCCAUUAUCUAAUCCUAGUUGGUAGGGUAACGGCCUACCAAGGGUACGAUGGGUAGCUGGUCUGAGAGGAUGAUCAGCCACACUGGGACUGAGACACGGCCCAGACUCCUACGGGAGGCAGCAGUGGGGAAUAUUGCGCAAUGGGGGAAACCCUGACGCAGCCAUGCCGCGUGUGUGAUGAAGGCCCUCGGGUCGUAAAGCACUGUCGGGAGGGACGAAGAUCUGACGGUACCUCGCAAGAAAGCACCGGCUAACUCCGUG
RNAcentral lists this ribosomal RNA (442 nucleotides) under uncultured bacterium. RNAcentral's name for it is "bacterial SSU rRNA". It matches the Rfam family "Bacterial small subunit ribosomal RNA", at positions 34 to 507 of the family's 1533-position model. The record is from RNAcentral.